AGAGUUUGAUCCUGGCUCAGAGCGAACGCUGGCGGCGUGGAUAAGACAUGCAAGUCGAACGAGGUUUUAGAAGCAGGUAACUGAAUCUGAAACUUAGUGGCGAACGGGUGAGUAACACAUGGGUAAUCUGCCUCAAAGACUGGGAUAGCUCUUCGAAAGAGGAAUUAAUACCAGAUAUGGUUGCUUUUCUUAUGAUUGGUAAUUAAAGGUGGGGAUCUUUCGGGACCUACCGCUUUGAGAUGAGCCCGUGGCCUAUCAGCUUGUUGGCGGGGUAACGGCCACCAAGGCUUACGGGUAGCUGGCCUGAGAGGGUGGUCAGCCACACUGGGACUGAGACACGGCCCAGACACCUACGGGUGGCAGCAGUCGAGAAUCUUUCGCAAUGGGGGAAACCCUGACGGAGCGACGCCGCGUGAAGGAAGAAGGUCUUCGGAUUGUAAACUUCUGUCACUUGGGAAGAAAGAUAUGCAGGUGAAUAAUCUGUGUAUUUGACUGUACCAGGAGAGGAAGCCACGGCUAACUCUGUGCCAGCAGCCGCGGUAAUACAGAGGUGGCGAGCGUUGUUCGGAUUUACUGGGCGUAAAGAGCACGUAGGCGGCAUAGUAAGUCGGUUGUGAAAUCCCAUGGCACAACCAUGGAACUGCAUCCGAUACUACUAAGCUAGAGGUGAGCAGGGGAAAGUGGAAUUCUCGGUGUAGCGGUGAAAUGCGUAGAUAUCGAGAGGAACAUCAGCGGCGAAAGCGACUUUCUGGACUCAACCUGACGCUGAGGUGCGAAAGCUGGGGGAGCAAACAGGAUUAGAUACCCUGGUAGUCCCAGCCGUAAACGGUGUUCACUUGGUGUUAGGAGAUUUGACCCUUCUAGUGCCGGAGCUAACGCGUUAAGUGAACCGCCUGGGGAGUACGGCCGCAAGGUUAAAACUCAAAGGAAUUGACGGGGGCCCGCACAAGCGGUGGAGCAUGUGGCUUAAUUCGAUGCAACGCGAAGAACCUUACCAGGGCUUGACAUGCUGGGAUUAAUCCGGUGAAAGCCGGAGGAUUGCCGUUAGGUGUAACCAGUACAGGUGCUGCAUGGCUGUCGUCAGCUCGUGUCGUGAGAUGUUGGGUUAAGUCCCGCAACGAGCGCAACCCUUGCACUUAGUUGCUAUUCCUACUUCGGUAGGUCGCACUCUAGGUGGACUGCCCUGUUCAACAGGCGAGGAAGGUGGGGAUGACGUCAAGUCAGGAUGGCCCUUACGCCCUGGGCUGCACACGUGCUACAAUGGUUGGUACAGAAGGACGCAAUGCCGCGAGGUGGAGCAAAUCCAAUAAAACCUGCCCCAGUUCGGAUCGGAGUCUGCAACUCGACUCCGUGAAGCCGGAAUCGCUAGUAAUGGCGUAUCAGCUACGACGCCGUGAAUACGUUCCCGGGCCUUGUACC
Molecule: ribosomal RNA, 1419 nt
Filed under: metagenome
Description: bacterial SSU rRNA
Rfam family: Bacterial small subunit ribosomal RNA
Source: RNAcentral